UUUAUACAUGGGUACUAAUAAUGUGUC
This 27-nucleotide small RNA is filed under the name Bombyx mori (domestic silkworm). RNAcentral's name for it is "ovarian small RNA-38251". Lineage: Eukaryota; Metazoa; Arthropoda; Insecta; Lepidoptera; Bombycidae. The record is from RNAcentral.